AGCAGCCGCGGUAAUUCCAGCUCCAAUAGCGUAUAUUAAAGUUGUUGCAGUUAAAAAGCUCGUAGUUGAAUUUCGGGGUCAGCAAGUUGGUCGUGCCACCGGUAUGCACUGGCUUUGCUGAUUCCUCCUUCUUGUAGAACCGUAAUGCCAUUAAGUUGGUGUUGCGGGGAAACAGGACUGUUACUUUGAAAAAAUUAGAGUGUUUAAAGCAGGCUAACGCUUGAAUACAUUAGCAUGGAAUAAUGAAAUAGGACGACGAUCCUAUUUUGUUGGUUUCUAGGAUUGACGUAAUGAUUAAUAGGGAUAGUUGGGGGCAUUAGUAUUCAAUUGUCAGAGGUGAAAUUCUCGGAUUUAUUGAAGACUGACUACUGCGAAAGCAUUUGCCAAGGAUGUUUUCAUUAAUCAAGAACGAAAGUUAGGGGAUCGAAGACGAUCAGAUACCGUCGUAGUCUUAACCAUAAACUAUGCCGACUAGGGAUCGGAUGAUGUUAAUUUUUUAAUGACUCA
RNAcentral lists this ribosomal RNA (507 nucleotides) under uncultured Glomus. RNAcentral describes it as "SSU rRNA". It matches the Rfam family "Eukaryotic small subunit ribosomal RNA", at positions 569 to 1078 of the family's 1831-position model. The record is from RNAcentral. Lineage: Eukaryota; Fungi; Glomeromycota; Glomeromycetes; Glomerales; Glomeraceae.